Centruroides sculpturatus (bark scorpion) is the source of this 1743-nucleotide long non-coding RNA. RefSeq lists it as uncharacterized. Lineage: Eukaryota; Metazoa; Arthropoda; Arachnida; Scorpiones; Buthidae. The transcript has 3 exons. The record is from RefSeq and is a predicted model, not a curated record.
GUUUAUAAAACUCUUAUAUUUAAGUAUAUAAUGAAGAGUCAGUUUUAGGAUUUUUUUAUUAUUUUAUACUUUUUAUAUUAUAUAAAUUGUAAUGACAGUUUGUUGUGAAGGAAGGUUAGUAGCAAAGAGGAUUAAAACUCCGGAUUUCAGUAGUACUCUAAAAAGAACAGAUCUGUUGUGAGUUUGCAUUUUUCGUCAAAUUUUAAAUGUGUGUUUUAUAAAAUGUUGGUUUAUUAAAUUCUUAAAGACGAUAUAUAUUUUUUUAAUUUUGAAAACGAGUAAAUAUAUUUACAUUAACUACUAAUUAUUAUGAUGUUUUGUGAGAGUGAUUGUUAUUAUUUUUGCUUAUGAUUACUUCUAGCUAAAUGAAAUUCCAUAUCAUAACCAAAAGGUGUUUGGUUAGAAUAUAUAUGUCGAUCUUUUUAAAGGUUUUCCUAGUAUAUGUUAAGUUAAAACUUCAAGAUUAAAAGUUUAAGGUUUGAAAAGGAGACAAACAACCUUGAAAUACGAAUACUCAACAAGUAAAAAUUCUUGUACGAAAGUUCCCAGAAAACUCGACAUAUCUCUUUAAAUGGUAAUGACCUCAAUAUUGUUGUCAGUGGCCAUUGUAGUGAAUAGUAAAGACGUUAAUCCCAACCUCAUUUUAUAUAUUACUCAAUAAAUGUAUGGUAAAAUAUAUUCAUUAAGAAAUAUUCGGUUACAGGAAUGAAAAUUAAUGGGAAUACGCGAAUAAAUUUUAGCGUUUUCUUCUUCAUCUACGCCGAGUAGAACGGCGCAGUUGCACGUAGAAUGCAAUUGUGUCGUUAUUACGAAGUUUGGUUUUCUAAAUUUGAGUACACUUGGUUACAAAACGUUUUCGUAAGGAUAUGCAGAAUAUGGGUUUGUGGAACGUAAUCUAUCUACAAAAUUCUUAAAUUAUUUCGGAUGUGUCCACAACAUGCAUCUAAAUGCAUAGUUUGGGCUAAUUGCGUUAAUAUUUAUGUGUUUUAUGAGUGGGGCAGUGGGCUAAAAUGAAGAAGAUCUAAUAUAAAUUCGAUAUACCUAUAUUAAACUAGGAUUUCGGUCAGGCAUUGUAAAAGUGUCCUUGGUUAUCGAUAUUCGUUGUACUUUGGUCUUAAUUUGCGUACUAACGGAGGAAAUUGUUGUAGAAUUUUAUGUACUAGACAUUUCUGUGAAGACAAAUGAAAGGUGAUAAGCUAUUGGAGGAUAAAAAGCUAAUUACGAUUUGCUGUUCAUGAGCCACGUGAUCGAGGUCGUUCAGUUUCGCUAUAAUACUGUGUUUCGAAAGGAUUUAAAUAACAUUUGUAUGCAAGAUAUGAGAGAAAUUCCUAUUAUCUGCUGAAUGUUGAUCCGUCUUAAUCUAUUCAAGAAAUCAUUCACUUAUUCAAAGAAGUUUAUAGAGUUAAUUUUGAAAGAUGUGUGGACGAUUUUGUAGUUUAUUUUGUGCCUGUUUGUUAGUUUGCACCACUAGAAUUCAAAACACUCAUUCUAGAAGUGAAAAUCAUAGUCACGGAUAUUUUCAUAAUGAACAGAAGGAAAAGGAUGAAGAUGGACACGAAUCUGCCGAUCAUAGAUUCUUUUUGAAAGAAAUUUUUAAGAAAUAUGGACAAGGUGAUGCAAUGACUUUCAAGCAGUUUGAAAAUCUAUUAUUUAAUUUAGGUCUGAAUCAACUUAUGAAGAGUUAUGUUAAUCAUUAUGAAUUUGAAAGCAGAAAAUCUUUGGGACCAUCAUUGGAGCAUGAAA